RNAcentral lists this ribosomal RNA (440 nucleotides) under uncultured bacterium. RNAcentral describes it as "partial 16S ribosomal RNA". It matches the Rfam family "Bacterial small subunit ribosomal RNA", at positions 338 to 795 of the family's 1533-position model. The record is from RNAcentral.
CCUACGGGGGGCAGCAGUGGGGAAUAUUGCACAAUGGGGGAAACCCUGAUGCAGCAACGCCGCGUGAGCGAAGAAGGCCUUCGGGUCGGAAAGCUCUGUCCUAAGGGAAGAAGCAUGACGGUACCUUAGGAGGAAGCCCCGGCUACCUACGUGCCAGCAGCCGCGGUAAUACGUAGGGGGCGAGCGUUACCCGGAAUCACUGGGAGUAAAGGGUGCGUAGGCGGAGGAUUAAGCCAGGGGUAAAAGGCUCCGGCUAAACCGUAGUAAGCCCUUGGAACUGAUUGGGUGGAGGGCAGGCAAGGAGAGUGGAAUUCCUAGUGUAGCGGUGAAAUGCGUAGAUAUUAGGAGGAACACACGUGGCGAAGGCGACUCUCUGGACUGUAACUGACGCUGAGGCACGAAAGCGUGGGGAGCGAACAGGAUUAGCUACCCGAGUAGUC